This 74-nucleotide transfer RNA is filed under the name Candidatus Dojkabacteria bacterium. RNAcentral describes it as "tRNA-Met". It matches the Rfam family "tRNA". From Rfam's summary of the family: Transfer RNA (tRNA) molecules are approximately 80 nucleotides in length. The record is from RNAcentral.
GCCAGAGUAGCUCAGUAGGUUAGAGCGUGGGAUUCAUAAACCCAAGGUCGGCAGUUCGAUUCUGCCCUCUGGCA